GGUGAUGAUGGCAGAGAGGUCACACCCGUUCCCAUACCGAACACGGAAGUUAAGCUCUCUAGCGCCGAUGGUAGUUGGGACCUUGUCCCUGUGAGAGUAGGACGUCGCCAAGCGA
RNAcentral lists this ribosomal RNA (115 nucleotides) under Bacillus thuringiensis serovar chinensis CT-43. The record is from RNAcentral. Lineage: Bacteria; Bacillati; Bacillota; Bacilli; Caryophanales; Bacillaceae.